CUAAGAUUAAAGCGUGACACAUAAGAAUGGAUAAAAAGAAGAUCCUCAAGAGGAAGCAGCAUCAGCUGCAAGUGGAGGCGGAGCUCCACCGCCUCCCUAACCAGCAACCAAAAUCAAAAUCAGUUCGUGUUUCUUCUAAAUCAGCCACCACCGCCACCACCACCGCCACGAAUCCAUACUCUUCUCACAGUGGCCCCACUCCACAAGAAUGCCUCUCCCUACGAGACACCCUCUUAGCCCUCCACGGUUUCCCUCCCGAAUUCGCCAAGUACCGCAAGCGACAACACGUUGACGACAACCACCACCACGCCGCCACCAUCCCGCCGGAAACCGUGCUCGACGGUUUGGUCCGAACAGUGCUCUCUCAGAACACCACCGAGUCCAAUUCCCAAAAGGCGUUCGAUUCCCUCAAAUCAUCCUUCCCCACCUGGGAACAUGUGCUUGGUGCGGAUUCGAAGGAGUUGGAGAAUGCGAUUCGAUGCGGGGGUUUGGCACCCACGAAGGCUUCGUGUAUUAAGAACAUGUUGCGUUGCUUGCUGGAGAAGAGAGGCAAGUUGUGCUUGGAGUAUUUGCGAGACUUGUCCAUUGAUGAAGUUAAGGCUGAGCUCUCUCUUUUCAAGGGAAUUGGUCCCAAAACUGUGGCUUGUGUGUUGAUGUUCAAUCUUCAGCUAGAUGAUUUUCCCGUUGACACUCACAUUUUUGAGAUAGCAAAAACAAUUGGUUGGGUGCCAGCUGCUGCUGACAGAAACAAGACAUAUCUUCAUCUAAACGAAAGGAUCCCAAAUGAACUUAAAUUUGACCUGAAUUGUCUCAUGUAUACACAUGGGAAGCUUUGCCGUAAAUGCACAAGUAAAAAGGGUAACAAGCAAAGAGAGAAAUGUGACGAUAAUAACUCCUGUCCUUUAUUGAAUUAUUGUAAAGAACCAGUUUGAACUUUGAUGCUCAGAACUUGUAUUGUAUAGAGCUAACUAGUGGUAAUAACGUAGGCUGGAGACUAUUUUGAAGUGUUAGUUGAAUUGAAAGAGAAGCUCACAAUUAUGUGAUUGAUACGGUGAUGACGUGCCAAGCCGGGAACGACGGAGACAUCAACAAGCUGAACGAGAUGUCGCAUUACGUUGGGGCGGCCGACUUUGAGAGGUCUUGCCUUCUACUGCCCCACGCGAGUGAGCCAUACCCUUCCUCCACCCGACGCCAUCGUCCCGUAUUUGCCUGAGGCCAGAUUUGGCGACACGGUGCCACUCAGGGACUUCACUUUUGACAAUUUCCUGAUUUCGGCACUCGUGAAGUUACAGCAUUCGGAGACGCACACGUUUCAUCUCCCGUGGGGUUAGGUCACUAUCACCCUACAGGACGUGGCGUACCACCUAGGCCUACGCGCACACGGUAACCGCGUUGGGGGGUGCCUUCGUGACUUCAAUAGGUCGUACGGCACGGAGACGUGGGCUAUGGUGGAGCAGCUGCUUGGUGCCAAGCUAGCAGACUGUGCAGAGGAAGGAGUCCUUCACGCUUAAGCUCGUGUAGCUGCGGGAUCAUGUCUGCCAGAUGCCCCGAACAGAAGACCCGAAGACCCUCCGACAGUACGCUAGGUGCUAUAUUAUGUUACUUAUCGGAGGGUAUUUGAUGACAGACAAGUCCAACAACCUGGUGCACAUACGUUGGCUACCGCUUUUCCGGGACUUUGGGGAGUGUAGGGCACUUUCCUGGGGAUCGGCUGUGCUGGCCUAGACGUACCAGUCACUUUGUUCGGCGGCACAACGAGGCGUCACGGACAUCGCCGGUUGCACUCCGUUGUUGAUGAGUUAGAUCUAUCAGAGAUUUUCUCAGUGGUGUCCACCAAAUAGAGGAAUCUACCAGUAUCCGCUGGCUGCAAGGUUGGUUGGAUUGCAGCAGUAGAGUACGGAUCAGCAUCAGGCCAGGGUCCUGCAUUGGAGAGUUUCGAUCGAUCGGUUAUGGUUCGACGAGUUUGCAUGGAGAGUCUACGAUGACCCUGCGAUGCAGGCUUUGUGCCCGCCAUGGUUCCGUGACGAGGAGGAGUGGGGGACGUGGUUGUCAGCUGUCUCCCUAGUGUGCUCAAUAUUGUACGGUUUCACCACGUUGAUCGGGGAAAUGGAAGUUCAAUGGGGAGCAGCAAGUGCAAGGCACUCCGGUGAAUCUUGACAGUGCCGGAAUUGGGUGAGGUGGAGGUAGGACAUGGCGCGCCACAGUCUGGAUAAGUGUCUUCGGAACACAUUCAUCCUCAUUCCCACCAUCGGACGAGUCGCUGUCUGCAUUGUCCGCCACGUAAUCAUCGUCCGACUCCUCCUCGUCCUCCU
Arachis duranensis is the source of this 2312-nucleotide RNA transcript. It is a transcript of the gene named putative DNA glycosylase At3g47830, with no coding region annotated. The transcript has 9 exons. The record is from RefSeq and is a predicted model, not a curated record. NCBI's taxonomy places the organism in Eukaryota, Viridiplantae, Streptophyta, Magnoliopsida, Fabales, Fabaceae.